CGGUUUUGUGCAUCAACAAUUUUCAUUCAUUUUUCAUUCGAAAGUGGUUUAUGCACACAACGUUUUUCUCAUGCGUAACUCUGUUUAUUUCUAGCAUUUAAAUUGAAUAAAUAAAAAACAAUUGAUAGACAAACUGGUGCGAAAUUAGAAAAUGGGGGUGCAUAAGUCAUUCAUAUUCUUAUUGAGUCUAACUUUUUUGUUUUCAAAAUUAAACAAUAAGUAAUUCGCAAUAUUUAUUUAUUACAUAAAUAAAUUAUUUUCAAAUUAAAUACCGAACGAUCCUUAUAUUUUUUGUUUUGUUUUUAGUGUAAAAGAAUAAAUCCAUUGUCCUGACGAACUGGACUAACAAUAAUUUCAUAUGAUUAUAUAGAAAGAAAAAUGAGUGCGAAAGUGUAGCGUUAUAUCGGAUGGUACACAAAAUUAGUAUGAAACUGUUAUUAAUUUGCUGCUGGUUUUCUACAAUCAAACUGUUUCUCUUCUCUAUCAUAUAACAUCUGAAAUUCCGAUAUAACAUCUUUGAGCCAAAUAAUUACAACCAAAAUAUUAGAGCCAAUAUUCAAAAUUAUAAAACCGAAAAAUAAAAAAUAAAAAAUGAUGACCUACACAAUCGAAACAUGGGAGCUACAAGGAGUGUUCUAUUUGCUUCACAGAUCAGUGAGUCUCUUUCUCCGUUUGCAAAGUGGGGCUUUUCGGUUCCCUUUCAUCAGAGUUGGUAUUAUCGGUUUCUUCAACAACCGGCGAUACGCCAUUUUCCACCGGAGGCACAUCGACGUUCUCAGUUACGCUCUUUUCACUUUCAUUUUCAUUUCUGUCUCCAUCACCAACAGGUUUCAGGAGUCCUCUUGAUGGAGUGGCGACUGUCAAUAGGCGGCCAAUCCCGUCAUAUAAUUCUUUGCAUCCAUUAUUAAAGUAGCUCCACCAGGGUAACAGCGGCCAAAGCAUGUUGCACAAUGUGGGAAAGUGACCUACAAAUGUAUUUGUAAGAUAUAGAGGAUGUCAAUGUCGUCUAUAGAUGCAAAAAUAUCAGACAAUAUGUAGCCCGGGUUUGUUUAUAUUAUACCUCAAUAAAUGCUCGACAAAGUGAGAGGAAAAGUCCAGACUCAUGUUCUUUCAGCAUCCGAUUUGUGUUGUACCUCAGUAAAGAAUCAGAAACAGCCUGCAACCCCUUGAUUAACUCUUGAGCAAGCACAUGCUUCAAACUUAUUGGGGCACAGGGGCGGAGGUCAUUCAUCGCUGCAGAAACACCUAAAGCCACAAGAAAGAGAUAUAUGCAUAAAUGCCUGAAGAAAAAAAAACGCAGAAAUCGGCCAUUCUCUUGAGUUUUAUGCAAUCACUGGACCUACUAACACUUUAUUUUUAAGAGAAACCAUGAAAUAUAUGUCCCACAUUACAAUUCAGUUAUGCAGUUUAUAUAAGUAAACAUGGGACCUACUUUCUUUCUUCCAAAUGUGACAUAGGAAGGGAUAGAAAGAAUCUUAUUUAGUAACCAUAUCAAUGAUAUUAGACCAUCGAUCAUUAUUUUGUUUACUAAAGUAGGCAACUAAAAACGAACAAAGCACACAAGAUGAGAAUUUCGGUGGGGAAAAGGGCAAUUCCUCAGUAAACAUAGAAGAUUUUAGCUGAGAAGCUUAAGCAACACUUACCAUUAACAAAGACAGCAAGAGGUGGAUGUUCCAUAAGAUAAGAUGGUGGGGUUACAUCAUCCUGAUUUUCAUCACCAUGACUAUUCGAUGAAAAGCCAACUACUGGUAGUGGGACCCAACGAUGUGAAUCCAAGACCACCUGGAUUUAAGCAUGAUGUCAACUAUCUGCAUUUUUAAUCAUAGAAACACUGAAUUCAAAUCAUCAAUUAUCCAUUCACCUCAAAAUUCUCAACUGCUGCGCUCAUGUUUUUUGAGAAUAAGUUGAGAACUGCCCUGGAAAAAUAACCAAGGUCAACAUUCACAAUGAAGAAAACAUAGGGUAUAUAGUAGUCAAGAUAAAAGGGGAAUAAGAUCUGUACUCUUCAAACAGUGAUGACAGCAAUCCCCGAAAAUCUAGCCCAACCCAACCAAGUCCCAUAGCACAAUACUGUCAACAAAAAAAGUAACAAGAUCAAAAUAAACGAACAGAGCUUCUAUUACUCUUAAAUUUCAAUGAUAUUUAAAGGAGUAGCAUGACCAAUUUACGACUGAAGCUUUGGUUUUUUAUCAUAUGUAAAAAGGGGACGAAUAUCAUUUUAAACGAGAAGUUCAAAUGAAUGGUGAUAUAUCUUGCAAAUCAUGGACUAUUAAAGAAGCAACUGUAUUCAGGCAUUUAUCUCCAGUUUAUAGCUUGAUGCCAGCAUGUGCAGAACGAUAAUAAAUAUAACAUUGGACGCUCACCAUGCAUUGAUCCAAGAUAUUUGAUAGAGAUCCGCCUUCAGUUAUCUUUGGAAGCAGAAUUUUAAGAGUCUUAAGGUGUGAAGUAAUUAUAUGCAUAGCCCAACUGAAAAGAAGACCACCAUCAUAAUUUUCUUCACUGCCUGAUGUAUCAUCAGCAAAUAUUGCUCUAUAUUGGUUAACAACAUCAAAAAGAUGCAUUCUAUGACAAUUUAUCAUCCCCUUCAGGUAUUCAUAAGCAUUUCUCUGGUCCAAAUCCUCCAGAAUUCCAGUAAGCCAUGCCUCCCGACAUCUCAAAAACUAAAGCACAGAAAAUUAAGGUCAGAUACAAGAAAGCCUAGAUUUCCAGAGAGAAUUACUCAAUGAAAGAUGUCAUUUGAAACGUUACUAAUUUCUUACCUGUAAACGCAUUUCAUAUUCACUAAAUACUCCUAUUCUACGUAAAUAUCCAAUAAUGCGGAGACAUUCAGGUAACUGCAAUACACAAAGAUACACCCACAAUGAAAAAAAUUAUCAAAUUCUGCAAUCAAUGUAAUAAAAAAUCAUGUUGCACUGCUUGACACGUAUGUUCAUGGCAUUACACAAUACCUGAAUAUUUGAACGAAGUUUCUGAAGAAGCUGAGAAAGAAGAGACUGAGUGGUCUGCCUGACUUCUGCAGCCAAAGCCUGAAUAACAGGCAAUCUUACAGAAGAAGGAAAACAAAAUAAGUCAAAGAACAAAGCGAGCCUCAGUGCAUCGCCUUUCACAAAAUUGAAAUUGGAACGUUACUAUCAACUGACAAGGAGAACAAGGAGGCAAGACUCACUUGGGGUGCAUGGUCGAAAGCUUGCAAACAAAUGCUUCUAAGUCAAGAGCUUCAUCGUAAUUUCCAUUCCUCACACAUCUGCGUAAGAACCGGAAUGAAUUAAGCAUACAGGACUUAUCCAAUGGCAUAAUCAGCUGCAGUAAGAAAUACAACAUUCCGAAAAAUCAUGCUUGGCUACCAUCAAACAAUCCCAUUCAGUUCAAAUUCACUACUGAUGAAACCAAUUCACUAGAAUGAGAACAACGACAUUUUUCUAUCCAAUCGCUCGAGAAACAUAAGAAAGCAUUGUUUCGGGGUUUUUUUGGUUCGCAAACUAAAUCCAAAUCAGAUUGAUGGGUAAUGUAGCAAGGAUUUAUACUACAUACAGUAGUGAUACAAUUCAAACCAAUGAUUUUAAACAAUAUUUCAAACACAUACGUAUCCAUAAGCUGAGGAAUUUCAAGUAAGUCGAGCAAUGUACUGAUUAGCUAGCAACGUCUGGUUCAAUUUCCUCUUUUCCAAAAUCUGCUCCGCGGAUUCAACAAACUCGGUGCACCCACUCAUCAACUUCGGCGUCUCCUCCAGCUACCAAAACGCAAAAUUUCAUGUCAGCAUUUCAAAAAUGCAUCAUAAAGUUCAAAUUAAUUAAUUAAUUAACCAGAAAUUAGAGUUAAUUAAUUAUUACCAGAGACGCGAGAUGUUUGUCAAUGGAGGACACUUCGUUUCGAAUUGAGACCAAUGCAUCGGAAGCGGCAAUGAACGCUCGGUAAUUGGCCACCGCCACCUCCUGCAUUUGCCGCUGUAUUCGCUCCGCAUCGACCCGAAGAAGCUCCGGUUCCUGAAAACCCGACCCGAUAAAAAGAAAUCAAUUUAAGUUCGAUUAACCAAACGAACGAACAAUGAGAGAGGGGGGAGAGAGAGAGGGAGGACCUUGUGGAGGCGAUCGAGGGUGAAGGAGAGGAGCUCGGAGACGUAAGGUUGCUGGGAGGCGGAGGCCAAGGGGAGGAGGGUAGCCACCGCGGAGGAGUCGUCGGCGGCAUUUUCGGACUCCAUCAUCGGGUGGUGGAGCUCCGAAUUGGGUGGAGGUUUUCGGAUCUCGGACCCUCCGGUUAGGGGUUUGGGAUGUGUCGGAGGGAAAUGCAGAUUUGCAGAUCUGCUGCUGCUGCUUUGGAGUUCGUUGCUCACUUUCGAUGGGGCAGUUGUCUUGUCGUUUGAUUUGCCGCGAUUCGGAUCUGGAUCCAACUAUUUUCUGGGUUUAUUGGGCCUCUAUGGGCCCAAUCUAAGAGGUAAUUCUAUUGUUUUUUCCAUUUUUUUCUUUUUAUUUUCCAGUAUUUAAAACAAAUAAAAAAUAAAAUAAAAUGCCAUUUUUCAGUUUCAUUUUAAAGUGAUACAGAGUAUGACUGAGUUUCUUUUAUUUUAUUUCUGCUUGAGAAAUUUGUAAUUGUAACGAUUACACAUUUCUAUAAUGUUAUCAAUUCACGUGUUAUAACAUAAGUGGAUUGAUAAUAACGUGACAAUAUAAAUCACUAGAAAACUUCUCUAGUUUCUGAAUAGAUUUUCAUAUCGAUUUAUACAUGAUUAUUGUAUGUUUAAAGCUAGUGCGGUAACCCAUUUUUUACCCUAAUUUUUGGUAAUUUUAUACUUGAUCAGGCGUUGGACAUGUUAUUUUUGAGUAAUUUCAGGUUGCUGGGGCUGUAUGCCCCUCUGCAAACACAAGUUCGGAUCCUCAUUUUUAUUAUUUAGAUUAUAUUAACGUAUCGCUCGAAGUAAAAACAUGUUGUUGGAUUUAUCCAAUAUAAAUCAACCUUUAAGUGGUCUACUAUAUGUAAUAGGAAUGUAAUAUUGGAGAAUAAUGUUAAUUGUGAUUUGAUCUCUUAAAGAUAUCAAUCCUAUAUAAGGUGUCUUAUAUUGGAAAUAAGAUUGAUGGAAUCCUUAAUAAUAUAUGAUUAUGAUAUUUUACUUGAGAGCCAAGAAAGGAGAGUUUUAGUUUUCCCUUAUGGACGGAAUCUAAGACUUUUUGGCUAGUAUAUAAACACCGGUCCCUGCUAACCCUAGUCACGACAACUAAGGCUUCCCAUAGAGCAUUGUCAUAAAGCUAGGAGUUUACAGAAGAGUUGGUGUUUUCUGUUUGUCACGGCAAACAUAAAGAUUGGAAUUUUAUCGAUCACGUCUUGCUUGCAUGGCUACUGCAUCUUCGAUAACUACCAUUGGAAUCAGGUCAGUCACUCCUUCGUUUGUGUUUUAAUUGUAUAACCUAAUAAGGCUAACAGUUGGUAUCAGAGCCACUGGUUAUAUAAUUAAAACCUAUUAGGUUUAAUGUUGGAUUAUAUAAUAUUAUCUUGAACUGCUUGUUAAUCCAAAUUCUCAUUGCAUAUACUCGGCAACAUCACCAUGCGAUUUGAAUAAGUUCAAUUGUUAAUUAUGAUCAGGUUGCAUAAUUAUUUAGUUUUAAUCAAGAAUAUUUUCACUAAUAUUAUGGUUGCAGUCUAGGGAAAUUUAUUAAGAACUAUGCUAAUUGAUACCUUGAUUAUUAUCAGCAAGACAAGUUGCCUGAUUAUAGCAUGAAUCCAUAAUAUUGUAUGCGGUGUAUUAUAUAUAACCACAUAGCUUUGCUUGCCAAUUGGAAAUUGAACUACGCUUAGAGGUGCUUUUGAUCAAGCAUGAAUUAAAUUAUGGAAUUGAAGCAUAAAAUUUAUAUAAUAUUCUUAUAGUAUUGAAGCAUGAAAUUUAUUCGUGACCUCAACGAGAGCAUAGUCUAUCAGCUCUCACAAACUACAAAUGAAAGGGGUUGAUUGAUUCAUGUCAAAGAAGGAAAUGGGGCAACAAUAAAACUCGGAUGUUACAUCCGCUCUCUCAACUUGUUGUAGGACGAUUGGGCCCGAGUCUUUCCCAAAGACAAAGGUAUUCAACCCUAUUGGAAUUUUGAGUGUUUUUGGGGAGUGUAUAGCAUCAUCGACCAGGGUUGUUGGGGUACUAGGGGUUAUGAUAAGGUCGACUUGUGCUUAAAUCUCGAUUUAUUCCCUGCGUCAUGGUGUAUGUUUAAUUGGUCAUGAAACAUUACACCGUGUGGAACAUUGAGUUUUGACCCUAAAAGGGCAUAAAAGUUCCUAAGCUGGAUCAUGAAUUAUGAAGACGUUAAUCCUAUAAUAAUCAUAUAGGAACGUAAAGAAGCAUAUAUGUAAGGCUUGGUAUUAUAUUAUGUAUUUUACAGUGGAAAUCAUGGCACUAAGAAUAAUAACAGUUUUGUUCUAUUUCAAUCUUCAUGCUAGUGUUUUGGUUGAAUUGAUUUACCAUGUGCCACUGAUGAUCUCAAUUUUUGUAAGCAUGCUACAUUUGUUCUGACCUUACUGAAGAGGUCCCUUCGAUUAGCAAGCAGAACGAAGUCAUCUACCAAAGCAAAAAUGGUUUUGUUUCAUUGACUUUGAUUUCCAUAAUGGUUUAUGGUAUUUUGGUUGAUAUAUAUUUGGGUUGAUCCCUGAAGGCUUAAAUUAGUAAUAAGAUAAAGAUAUAAUUGCAUGAGUGAUGUGCUAAUUAUUGUAUAGUAUGUACAUACAUUGAUUACCAUGUAUCGGUUAAGUAUGUCAUGAAUAUGGAUCCAAUUAUUAUAUAUUUUGGCAAUAUGUAUCUAAAUGGGCAUAUGCUUAUUGAAUAAGAACUAAUAUUGUUUGCCAUGAAUUGCAAUUGCAUAAGUGCCAGCAAUUGUUUGAUCAAGCUAAGUAUACGUAAUUUUCUAAAGCCAAUUAUGCAUAUAGAAGUUCGCAUUGCAUGUGUAAAAUUAUCAUGACACCAGUAUCUAAAUGGUAUGUAUAUGAUAGACAUGCGGAGAAGCAUAUGUAAAAAUGCAUAAAUUCAAUUAUUGUUUGAGACUAUAUUUUGUAAAAAUAGUUUGGGUGUUUCGGCAUUAGUACAAGAGUAAGUCUAUUGCUCUGUUUUUCAUGGGUAAUAAGCAAAAUGGACAUAUGGCGUGUUUUUUAUACAAGGAUUGGGUGGUCAUAUAUCGCUUUAAGCGUGAGAUGAUCCCAUACAAGACACAAAUAUAUGUAUAAUAUGGCAGAUAAGCAAUAGUUAUUUAGUACUUUUGUUGCUUAUGGUCAUAGUGAUAUUAACACGUAAGGAAUAUGUACAAUUUUGCUUUCAUAUCUCAGUAUAGUCAAUUGUAUAUGACUAGUUAAUUUAUGUAAUUGAUGCAUAACUUGUGAAUUGACUGAGAAUGGCAGAAAGUAUCAUGUGGCAAGAGCAAGAACAAUAUACAAAUAAAAUGAGGUUUGUAGUAAUUAUGUGACAAUUCUCAUUUGUAUUUUAUCUAUUUAUUUGAGAAUUGUGGUUGGUCAUGUGAUUAUAAAUAUGUUUAUAAAGAAGUGGUGAACAUAUGAAGGCAUAAGGUAUGUAUUUCAUUCAGAGCAUGUGACUAAAUUGAUAAGCAUAAGUCUUCAAACUUGUAUAUAGUUUAUUAGUUUUUCCCAUGCCUAAAGAAUUUAAACAGUGCUUUUAUUAGUAAAUUUUAUGUGUCAUAAGGGGAGAAGAAAAACAAGUUUUCAAGGCUAAUGUAGGGCACAUAUUGGAGAUGUUUUCUAUGGAAGAAAUAAUUUUGGUAGUUCCUUUGUUUAAUUUGGUAUUUACAAGGCUAAUGCACGAUUUUGAUGCUAAUGAUUUAGGAGCCUUGUACUACGGAAAGAAAUGUACAAAAGAAAAGGAACCCAUUUGACUUAAGAAAACAUUUGAGCAAUUUAGUUUUUAAAUUAAAGGAAUGUAUUGUUCUUUUGCAUUACAUAAAGUAUUUCUAUUUCAAGCAAUUGACUCCAUAAUGAUAAGUAUUGACAUUCUUGUGGUGGAAUAAAACUUGUUCUAUAUGUGAUUAAUCUCUUUCAAGUAUGCUGUCAGGUUUCUUGAGAUUAAUUUAAUGUCAAAGGGAGUCAUGAAGGAAUUAGUGCCAUUUGUUGGCAAGACUCGAAGCUCGAAUCAGAUUAUCAUAAUUUUGUCACUUACAGUUAAUUAAUCCAUGUGACUUCUUGUAUCGUUUCAGGGCGGAGUUGAUCAAUGCCCUUUCAACUAAGCAAGCCGCAACGGCUUUAGUUGACGAUGAGACUGUGUUUUUGAGUUACUUCGGUCAACUUUGCAUCUUAAUUAGAAUAAAAUGGAUAAUCUUCUUGCCUACAGGUGUGGAUUACUUCUUUUAGUUUAAUUAAGAUGGCAUAGUAUGGGUUUUAUUUCACAGAAGUUGUGAAAACCUUCAUCUUGCCUACAGGUGUUGAAGUUUUUCAUGAAGGAACUUUUGUGACAUAAAAUCUAGUACUAGAAACUAGUUAAUUUUCUUGCCUACAGGUGUAAAUUAAUUUAGUUUCAUGAAGUUUAUUGGGAUAAAGUUCCAUGCCAUUAGUGACAAAUAUUUCCACAAUGAGCCCCAUAAAAGGUUGUGGUUUGAAGGCAUGGAAAUCGGUUGCAUCAUGAUGUAUUUUGUAUCUCUUUAUGAGACUUGUUGAUGCAAAGUAUUGGACCCAUGAAGGUUAAUCAAUGAUUGCUAAGGUACGCAUUGUUUAAGUCUUUAUGCUUGAAAAUCUUUCAAUUUGAACUAUGAUGUCGGUUUAGAGGAUGAAAUUUGACUACUAAAGUUUCUUUUGGACAUCGAAAUUGAAAUGAUAUGAAAUUGAAUUUGUUAUGGAUAUAUAAAUUCAUGAUAGAUGCACAUAAUUGUUUCUGGCAGAUUGCAUGUCUUGAUUUAAAUCGGGUGAAUGACACGUCUAAUGAUCACCAAAUGACCUGAAUUUUGGAUAUGUUCAACAUAUAAAUGUCUACUAUGUGUCUGAAAAUUUUCGUAAUUUUCUGCCAUGUAUUUUAAUUAUGGUGAAUUUAUUAGUAACCCAUGCUCGUAUAGACAGUUUUUACUGGCAGAUUGUGAUGUUUUUGAGACGUGACUUUAGACUACUAUUUUGAUCCAAAACGGCUUUAUAUUUUUAUUUUAUGAAGAUUAGUAUGUCUAUUUUGAUCAGUAUAAAUUUGGUAGCAAUCAAGCUUGUAAAUUAAUUUUGAUAAAUUCUAAAGUAAGUGUAACUCAUUGCUGAAAUUCUUUUUGACAACUUUAUGUUGGUUGAGAUGUCUAUUUUAUUAUGUCUAAAAUAUAGAGCAAUUUUCUUUAGGAACAUCCUUGAAAGAAUAUAUUAACGAGUGUUUGCCCAAGUGGGAGAAUUAGUGAACGAAAAUUGGGCUUCACACUCAUUAACUUAUUUGCAAGUAUAACUCUGAAAACUUAGUGGGAGUUUUUGAGCAUUAAGCGGAUUUGCAUGAAUUUAUUAAAGCAUUAUUCUAUCUUCCAUGUAUUUGUGUUACUCGAAUAAUAAUAAUAUGUUUAAGUUGCACAAAUGGCUACUUAGUAUAUGCGUACAUUUUUCUGUUACUUGCAAUCAUUUGGAUUUUUUUUGGUUGAUCAUUCGUUUUGAGGCUCAUAAGGACUUAGCAUAAAUGUGGACUUAUUAAUACAUAUAAGAUGGUUGUUGGAUGCAUGUUUUUGUGUAACAGUGAUGAAUGCUUUCAUGCUUAAUUGUACCUUUCAUUGAGGUAAUAUGCAUUCAUUGACUAAGUAAGGCUAUUCCCAAAGGCAUAUUUUCAAAAAUAUGAUUAAAGUAUUGAUUUGCAAAUUAAGUAACGAUGUUGCAGAUCAGUGGGAGUUUGAGUUUCAUGUUAGUAAGGCCUUACAUUUGCAGAUGACCUAUAAAGUAUGUAUAGAAUCCAUGUAUUCAUAUUAAUCUCCAGUUGGAUUCAUUAAGUCACAUUUUUCGUGUGCUAGUCAAUCAUCUGAUGAAAUAUAUAUCAGAUUUCAAGUUGUUAUCAAACUGCAUAUUAAAUGUCAUGGCAUGGUUUGUGCACUACCUCAGUUGUGAGGAUUUCCAUCUUGCCCGCAGGUGUUGGAAAUCACUAUGAAAGUAACUGGUAUGGUGCAUAGAUUAGUGUCAAAACAUAUUAAUUCAUCUUGCUCACAAGUGUUGAAUUAAUUUGUUUUAUGAAGUUUUUGGGAUAUUUUACUUGGACAUGUGCCUAUUUGGUAUUUUCAGUUGUGUCUGUUGGCUACAAACAUCGUUUGUAUUAUUAUUGAUCUAAUGAAAGUGAUGCAUGAUUGUUUUGGAGAUGUAUUCACACCUGCAGGUUAUGGUGGUUUCAUUAGAUGAAGGAUAUCUGCAUUGGCAGAUUUAAGGCUUCGAAGAAGCAUAAAGUGUAACUUGUGAGUUACAAUAAGGUGGACCUGAGAUGAUAUAAAGUAAGACAUUUUGAUUAAUUUAUAGUUUAAUUUUAAAGUUUCAUCUCUUGAUCAUAAUUUGUGUUUCAUGUGAAUGAGGAUCUUAGCAUGUGUGAUUAUGAAGGUUCUGGGUUGUGUCAACUCUACAACCUUGUUAGUUCCAUGUUAAGAAAUGCAUUUGACAGAAGCUGCAUUAAGGACGAGAUGUAAUCACUGUUACAUGGCCACUAAAGUGACAUUAGUCUCCAAUCUCAAGUAUAAACAUGAAUAUUACAUUUUGUAGACCAAGUGGGAGAAUGUUGGAUUAUCCAAUAUAAAUCAACCUUUAAGUGGUCUACUAUAUGUAAUAGGAAUGUAAUAUUGGAGAAUAAUGUUAAUUGUGAUUUGAUCUCUUAAAGAUAUCAAUCCUAUAUAAGGUGUCUUAUAUUGGAAAUAAGAUUGAUGGAAUCCUUAAUAAUAUAUGAUUAUGAUAUUUUACUUGAGAGCCAAGAAAGGAGAGUUUUAGUUUUCCCUUAUGGACGGAAUCUAAGACUUUUUGGCUAGUAUAUAAACACCGGUCCCUGCUAACCCUAGUCACGACAACUAAGGCUUCCCAUAGAGCAUUGUCAUAAAGCUAGGAGUUUACAGAAGAGUUGGUGUUUUCUGUUUGUCACGGCAAACAUAAAGAUUGGAAUUUUAUCGAUCACGUCUUGCUUGCAUGGCUACUGCAUCUUCGAUAACUACCAUUGGAAUCAGGUCAGUCACUCCUUCGUUUGUGUUUUAAUUGUAUAACCUAAUAAGGCUAACACAUGUUACAAAUCACAUAUUAAUUCUCGUCGAAAGUAAUACAUAAAAAGAUCAAGUAACAAACAAAAUCAAAUACAAGUAGGAGUAGGAUUGUGUAUAUACAUCACCCAAGAUUUGGUCUAUGCCUCUAUACUUUUCACCAAAAAGAAAACACAACCUGAACUAACAAGAUGAACAAAAAAAAGACAUGAACAGAAGAAGGAGAAGAAGCCUCGGAGGCGUAAAAGUAGUAGUAAGGAUGUGAACUGUUAUUCGCCACUCCUGCUCCUGUUGUUGCUGUUGUUGGCACUGGACCAGCAGGAGGCAUGCCGUAGAAGUACAUAAACCGAGGAGGAGGAGGAGCGCCUUGCGAAGGAUAUGAUGGGGGGCAUUGUUUUGGCGGUGAGGGAGGUGGCAAAGGUGAUUGUUUUGGUGGCGAGGGAGGUGGAGAAAUGUAGUAAUAUUGAGGUGGAGAGUGGUAUGCUAGUGGCGGUGAUUGUAGAGGUGAUGGCGGUGGACCUGAAGGCUCGAGUUGAGGAGGAGGAGGUGGUGAACAUAUGACUGGACAUGUAGUGCAGUCACUGAUACAUAUUAAACCAGUCUCAGGAUCCACCGUUUGAUCUCCAUAUGUGAACCUGGAAAACAUGAUCAUCCCGAAAAUCGCGGCCAUCAAGGACCGGGGAAUCCAUUUCCCUACCAUGAAUCUCAAAGCUCUGGAGUUAGCCAUCUGACAGAAGCAUAACCUUGAAAACUGACCAAGUUGUGAGGUAGCCUUCAGAAAAUUUUGUUCUUCUUAUCUGCCUUUUUAUACAAAAGUACGUAUGGCUCCUCCCACAAGUUUUGAUUUAGAUGCUUCAGGAAAUACGCACAAACAAAAUGGGUCACAAAACAGACAAUAAAGGGGCAUUAAAUUGUGACUUACAUACGGUCUGAACAUUGUCUAUUUAGUGUACCUGAGUUUUUUUUUUUUAUUAGGAGUUUGUAACCGAUUUUAUUUCCGCUUUUCUUUGUAAUAUUCUUUCAAUUUCAUGCGAGAAGGAAUCCUUAGAAAAGUUUCAAUGACAAUCUAAUCCUCCACCUCUGGUUUCUACUUUUUUUUUUCUGAUGCCUUUCUGCAAGCAUAAUCCACCUUUGUGUGGAACAAUUACCCCCUUACAGUAGUGGUGCACUUUAUGCUCCUUCUUUUAGUUAUACCUUUCUUUGUAAGAUGGAUCCACAACCCUUUCACUAACUUUUUGCACUUCUAAUUCAGCUAAUGCAACUCGCAGACUUGCGCAUAGCCAAGUUGGUUGAAGCAAUAUGUUUUCACGGCCCAUUUGCGCCCAACUUUGGAUCCCACGCCCCAUAGUUUAGAUUAGAUUAGAUUAGAUUAGAUUAGAUUAGAUUAGAUUAUUGUUCGAGUAAAUAAAAUUUACUGACUUCUUUUAGGCUGGAAUUUUCACUUGAGUAUAAAGUCUUGCAGGUUUCCUUUUGAGUCACCACACUUUAAAUCUUCUCAAACUUCAACUGCAGAGGGAAGUGAUCAUCUUAUAGUAUGAACAGGCAGAACAUGAACACAAAGAACAAAUAACAAAGAUUUUCUAAUCACAAACCCACCAAAGAUUAGCUUAAACCAAUCAGUGAAAGAAGCCUAAGAAUAUCAACCUUUUCUUUUUCCUUAUAUCAGUUUCCUAUUAUCUACAAACACUUCAGUUUCUUCAAUUGUAACUAGCUUUCCGGCCUUUCGUUCCUUGCGUCAUCGAGUGGUUUUGAAUUCUCUUCAUCUUCUUUGUACUUCUGCACUAUGUUUCAACUCCACCCACGGAGCUACUCUUAUCCAGUGGCUCCUGGUUAUUCAACAAUGUAGCAUAAUUUAGGUGCUAGCAGAUAAAAACUAAAAUAGAAAAGAGGACCGCGAAUUGUUAAUACUUAAUAGCACUCCAAAAUAGUUAUUCUGCACUCGUGUUUUUCUCUCUUAUUUUCUUCAAUUAGAAAUGAGUGCAGGAUUACUAUUUUGAAGUGUCAAUAGCCGCGUCCAAACAAGUCUGUCAGUUAAUGUUACAAACCUGACUACUUGUAGGUGACGUUCUUGAUGUGGAAGGACGCGGCGCAGAGCUUCGAGUUGGACUAUAAUUGAACCCAGGAGGAGUAAUGUCGCCAGUCCUUCCAAAGUCUCUUAACCGGUUCAGUUCCGGCACAACAACCGUGCCAAGAUCAGGCCUGUCCUUCUUCCUUAGCUCUGUGCAUUGUAAUGCCAAGUUAGCGAACGCUAGAGCCUCUUCGAUUGGCCAGUCGGUCACUGCUGGAUCAAGCAUCUCUGAAAAUGUUCCCUUCUCGAUGGACCUCCUGACAUGAUGAGCAACUCCCAUGGCAGGCUUGGCUGUGAUGAUUUGGAGUAGUACUAUCCCCAACGAGUAUAUAUCUGAUUUUGUUGUUAACAUGCCAGUUUGUUGGUACUCAGGAUCGAUGUAACAAAAUGUUCCCGCGGCUGCAGUCAUGUGGUAUUGUGUCACCUCGUCUGCUACAGAUGGUGGAACUAAGCGUGCUAGCCCGACAUCGCUGAUCUUGCUCACAAAGUUCCGGUCUAAUAAGAUGUUUGCUGGCUUUAGGUCACGGUGUACAAGGGGUUCCGGCUUUGCUUGGUGAAGGAAAUGAAGCGUUAUUGAAAUCUCAGAAGCUAUUUUGAACCGUCUCCUCCACGAUAUUGGGGGCGUGUUACCUCUUCUAAAUAACCGGUCUUCUAAGCUGCCGUAUUCCAUGUAUUCGUAUACUAGGCAUCCGUAUUCGGGGCAAGCACCAAGGAGGAGAACCAUGUUAGGAUAUCUCAGGCAGCUCAGGACCUCAACCUGCAUGUCAACACAAAUUAUGUCUCUGAUAACCAUCUUGUUUUUCUGAUAGUAUAACGUUUAUGUAAUGUUCCAAAUCUCAAAACUGUAUCAAUAACAUACCUCCUGUUGGAAUUGCUUCCUCCCUUGAGCAGCAUCAGGUCUCAGAACCUUGAUGGCAACAGGCGUGUGAUCGAGUUUUCCUUUGUACACAGGUCCAUAUCCACCCUCACCAAUUUUAUUCGCUUCUGCAAAUUUUUCCGUGGCUUCUUCAAUUUCUUCUAUGGUGUACUUCCUAUACCGGACAUCAUUUUGUGCCAAAGCAUUCAACGCCCGGAUCUUCUCUUCUGCCUCUUUCUUUGCCUUCAUCUCUGCCUGUCUUCUUCUCUGAGCUUCCAUCUCCGCCAACUUCUGCGCCGCCUCAGCUGCUUCUAUAGCUGCUUUGCACUUAGCCUUCUCCAUUUCCACAAUAGCAAGGGCUGUCUCUUCAGCAACCCUCACUUCAUCGAACUUUCGCGCCUCCUCUUGCUUCCACUGACUAAGCUCUUUAGCCUUAUUUUUUGCCAAGAUUGCUUCUUUGCACGCCGAGCUGUACAUGUCCAUUGUUUGCUUCAAUUCGAGCUUUAAUCUUCUCAUUUCAGCCUCCAAAUCCCGCUGUGAUCGAUCAAACAGUUAACAGCCAGAUUAUUCUUUUAUCUAGGCCUUGAUUAUAAAUUUUACACUACCAAAUUACUGAUCAACUUUUCCUACAAGCAACCAUUUAAUACAACUUACUGCAGAUUGUCUGGAUGACUCCUUGGGAGAAUUUAAUGCACUAGAGAAAUCGAAGCAUUGGUUUGUAAUAUCCAUUGACCCAAAUAACGGCAUUGACAAGUCACGUUCAUCAGCAUUCGAAGUGCGGCAGCUAAGCGAAGGCCGUGCUGAAGUAUGGUUAGCCAUGUCGAGAUUAAUAUCCAACGAGAGAUUGUUUGGAGCACUCCUUGUCCUCUCGCGCGCCGCAGGCAUUUUCUCUGAUCCUGGAGCUUUCCACCCUCCCCUUGAUGCAGGCUGUCCUCUGCUUCCACCAAACAGCAUUGCAAAAGUCACGACUUUUUAGCAUAAGAGAAAUUCUCUGUACAUGACGUUUUGUCUUACUGGAAGACAUGACACGUUGAAGAAACCUCAACCGUGUAAUUAGAAGAGAUCAGAGUCGAAGAAAACUGAGAAGAAGUGAGAUUUUCUCAACACGUCAUCCUGAAGAGAAAUAAUUAAAGUACGUACCUAGCUCCGUUUUCAAAUUCAUUAUGAUCUGCUGGGAUAUAAGGUGGGAGUCCCAGAGAGGAUGGCUGUUUUGGUGGAGCUGCAGUAUUAAGCGCAGGCCUCUUUGCAGGUCUUGUUGACAACAUCUUCCCUUUCUGAAUGACGUAUACCGAACAGAAUUCCGGUGCAAGUUUUACAAGGCUGCUGGACACAUCAUUCCCACUUUUGAACUUCCUGUGAAAAACCACAGCAUCAGAAUGUAGCGUAGAGAGAGAGAGAGAGAGAGAGAGAGAGAGAGAGAGAGAGAGAGAGAGUGAGAGGUUUAAACCUUGUAAGAGCAUUCCUUGUUGAUGCACCAACUACAAUACUAUUGAGGUAGUUGCAGUUGAUAUAUUCCAAAAGUGCUUUUGCAACAUCACCUUCAUCAAGGAUAACCUCUUUCACUUGUGCCUAAAAUUAAAAAACAAAUCAAAACCUAUUAAACCCUGUACGAGAUAUUAUGCGUAACACAUUGUAGACUACAUCUCUGACAGAAAUGAUGUAGGUACGUACCCCUUUACGAGCGCAAUAUGCACGGUAAGGAAUGAAAACGCUAUGUCCAUUAUUAUCACCCUCACCAUCACUCUCUGCAUAACUCGGAAAAGAAACAAAGAAAUCACGUUGACAAGGCCAAACAAUGUGUUUUGAAAACGAAGCAGAGAAAAUAGAGGGUACCUACGAUGGUUUUUGUGCUUGACAUGGAUGAGGAUGAUGUACGGAGUGGCGCUGGCGAUUACAAGAUGAUCGAUAGCCCACCGGACGGCAUAGUUGCUGUUCUUGUUGUCCUUGUCGACGGCCACGGCGGUUGCAUUGAUGGGUGGAACAGCGUCGUCUGAGGAGUAAUGGGAGGCCAUUUUGCGAGACGCCACUAGCGCAGCACUAGCACAGACACGCACCAAUGCCGCUGUCAAUGGCACCACCCUCCACGUCCAAAGGUCAGGGGAAGCUUGAGACGCAAGAAAAGGGGAAAAGGGAAAGAAGAAAGGAAGAAGGUUGGGUGAUUAGGGUUUUCUGUUGGUGUGGUUGUGGAACUGUAGCAUGACAUGUUUGGCUAAACAUAGAAAAUGUGACAUAACUAACUUUUGAUUGACUUUCAACCGUUGCUUGAUUUAGGCAAUUUUUGAGCUGGCCAUGACCAAAACCAAAGAAAACAAAAGGACUUUUGUUCACUUAAUUCGGUUUGGAUUUUUCUUGAAGCUUUUUGGGCUAGUCAACAAACAAUGAGAGAAAUGGGACUUUGAGAGGAACGAAAAUAUUGUUUGUUCAACAAAAUUUGUUUAAGGAUUGGUAGAGAGCAAGUCUUUGCACAACGAAAAUGUUGUUCUUUUGUGACUGAAAGGCCACAAGUUCAAGUUAUGAAAACAACCUCUUUAUAAAGUAAAGGUAAGAUUGCAUACGAUAGACGUUUCUUUCAUCUCUAGCAAAGCGGGAAGCCUUGUUGGCUUGGAGUCGUCUUUUAUUGGUAGUUGUUUGAUAUCCAUAUUGUAGAGAGGUUACGAAUUACAAGUAUUUGGCUUAAAUGGUGGCUAUGAAGAUACAAACUGUGUUUACAAUUUGUGACACAAAUGGCUUAAGAAAACAAUGAAUGGUAGUAUUCAAUUCAAGUUAACCUCUAUAUUUUUUACUUUAUAAGAGAAUAACGACCAAUUUUUAGUUUAGUGGGACCAUUUUUUUAAUAUUGAAAGAGACCUUAAAUUCGAAUUUCUUCUGAUAUUGAUUAAACAAAAAGAUUCUAUUCAAAUUUGGGAUGCGCUAAUAUUCAUUUAUAAGACAUUUUAUAAUAACCAGACCAACCCAACAAGUAUUAGUCUUUGUUACUACGUGCACUUAAAAUAUUAUGAUUCUCUGCUAUUUUGCUUAUUCAUAUUUCUCAAAACUCUCUUGAAUCGGUACAGUACAAGAAAAAUUUAUGGGAGAGUGUGUUUUGCAACGUGACAGUGUUACGAAUAGAACAUGAAUGUGUUUUCGAAGAAUAUUUUGGACUUUGAAGAACUUUUAACACGUUAUAUUUUUCAAGUUCUUUUGAUUACUUUACCACAUGACAUGAUUAGUCGCAUAUAAAUCUUUCUCCCAAGCUAACAAGAGUCUAAAACAAAUUUAUUUGGGGUGAGAAUUGAAUUUGUCCAAAAUUUUGGGAAGUUCUCAAUAAUUUAAUUCAUGACAUAUUAAUUUCCUAAUUACACAUUAACACGUGAAUCAGUAAUAAAGUAGCAUUCAUUAUUUUUUCCAAAAAUAAAAACCUUACAAGAGAUUUAAAUGUGUACAAAAUACGUUACACCACAUAUUAUUGUACAAUGGAAGAUACACCUAAAAAAAAAAUCCUAUAAUUUAGAUAAUCACUGAAAAAUUCUCUUCCAAGGCUACCACAUCACCUUGCCCGCGGAUUCGCGGGAGCCCAAAUAGGGAAAACAUUAGGAAACGACGUCGUCUCAAGCUGGUGAGUAGAAAUUUAAAAACCCUUCUUCGCCAAUUAACCAACCAGAAUUACUGAGAUAGCAACGACAUUCCCAAAUCCCCAGCGGACUCAAAUCUCCUGCAACGCCUCAAUCCGUGAGCAAUGUCGUCGAUAUACGUUUUAGAGCCGCCGACGAAGGGCAACGUGGUGCUGCAAACAACGCACGGACCACUCGACGUGGAGCUCUGGCCCAAAGAGGCUCCGAAGGCCGUCAGGAACUUCGUGCAGCUCUGCCUUGAAGGCUACUACGACAACACCAUCUUCCACCGCAUUAUCAAAGGCUUCCUGGUUCAGGGCGGCGACCCCACCGGCUCCGGCACAGGUAAUUUCAAAAAAAAAGAUUGAGAAUUUCUGUUCGUGAAUUUGUAUAGUUAUCUGGGUUACUUCAGUUUGGGAUUUUGAAUUUGAAUUGGGUAUUGCGAAAAAUAUGGAGAAUUCCGGCUCAGGCAUUUGUAUAGUGAUUUGGGUUACUACAGUUUCGGAGAAAAGAUUGAGAAUUUUGGUUCAGGAAUUUGUAUAGUGAUCUGGGUUACUUCGGAUAUAAGAUUUUGAGCUUGAAUUUUUGGGGUUUUUUUUUUUUUUUUUUUUUUUUUUGCAGGGGGUGAGAGUAUUUAUGGAAGUGUUUUUCCUGAUGAGUUUCAUUCGCGUUUGAGAUUCAAGCAUAUGGGUUCAGUCGCUUGUGCAAAUGCCGGUACACCCAAUUCGAAUGGGAGCCAGUUUUUCAUGAACUUGGAUCGGAGUGAUUGGCUUGACAAGAAGCAUACCAUCUUCGGAAAGGUGAUGAUUAACUUCAAUGCCGGCACCGGCAGUUUAGCUUUAUGAGUAUCAGUAGAAAACCAAGGAACCGAACUCACUCAGUACUUUGUUUUUUGUUUUUCAGGUAACUGGGGAUUCAAUAUAUAAUCUUGUGAGGUUGGGUGAACUAGAAACUGACAAGGAGGAUCGGCCGUUGGACCCGCCCCCAAGGAUACUAUCAGUAGAGGUAGCUAAACAUGGUCUUUGAGUAAACCUUAAGCUUUCCACUUUCUAUAUGGUUCUGUAGUUUUGUGCACUGGGUACGACCUUUUUUAUCUUUUUUAUGUCCGUGUUUUAGGUAUUAUAGAAUCCCUUUGAUGACAUUUUUCCAAGAGUACGUGCAAAGCAUUCGACGGAAUCCAAAAAUAAUACUGGCAACAAAGAUAUAAAGAAGAAAGCUGUAAAGUAAGCUUCUUCCUCGCCGGAAGAAACGCGUGCAUAUGCACAUGUGUGAAUGUUAAUUUGUUUUUGCGUACAGCGCACCUGUCUGUGAAAGGAAAUGUAUUAUGCCAUGAUAUAUGUCGUCAAAAUUGUCACUACGCUUAUUCAGUAUCUUAUGUGCAUGGUUUGUUUAAAAAAUACAGAAAGCUGAACUUGCUUUCGUUUGGAGAAGAAGCUGAAGAAGAGGAGAAAGAAUUGGCAGCUGUAAAGACAAAAAUCAAGAGCAGUCACGAUGUAAUGGAUGAUCCUCGCCUUCUGAAGGACGAAGUUCCAAUUAACGAAUCGGUAAUUAUCUGCCAUCUCUUGUUGUGAUGCCUUGUUUAUAUAAAACUGUUGAAAUUUUGCUAAUUCAGGUCCAUAUGUUGUUAUGAGCAUUUUGAGUGUGAUUAGCAGUCUACGUGUGCACAUUCCGUCUCUCUCACUUAAUCGGCAAUUUUUAAUCAAAGGACUUAUCUUUGACAAAUGUUUUUGUAUGCAGAACUUUGAUUCCAAAACAAAGCAUGUACAGUUAUCUGUCUCUAAAGCUCCAAGAAAGAAGAGCCCAGGUUAGACAGUUUUGAUGCAUCUAUAUUUGUAUAUACCUCAAACAAGUCCAAAGUUCUAAACGAGGCAGUUCUAGGAAAAUCAAAUGCCUAAGUUUCUUGUUAAGCUAGGUCAAGUUUGUUUCUCUCACAUCUGUUUUCCUACGUGCGGGUUGUCAUUAUGGUGGGUUUUUGUAUAGAUAACGUAAUGUCGCGUGUUUAGCUUUGCCAUGUGGAAGUUGAUUAUUGGUUUGAAAUACCGCUAAAGUGGUAGUUUUUUUUAAAUCAAUAAGGCAAUUUCACGUGUUUAACUUUGCCAUGUGGCAGUUGGUUAUUGGUUUGAAAAACCGCUACAGUGGUGGGUUUUUAAAUCAGUACGCAAUGUCAUGUGUUUAGCUUUGCCAUGCGGCAGUUGGUUAUUAGUUUGAAAAACCGCCACAGUAGUGGUUUUUUAAAAUUAGUAACACAAUGUCACGUGUUUAUCUUUAGCUAUGUGGCAGUUGGUUAUUGGUUUGAAAGACCGUCACAUUGGUUAACGCAAUGUCACGUGUUUAUCUUAGCUAUGUGGCAGUUGGUUAUUGGUUUGAAAGACCACCACAUUGAUCCUAGUCACUAUUCUAAAAAUCCCUGCCUAGCACUGCCUAGGUACUAGGCAGUUGGCCACCACCAUCCCGAUUAAUGCCUAGACGUUUGAAAAUUAAGAAAGGGUGCCUAGAGCUGCUAGGGUGCCCGCCUAGACUGCCUAGACUGCCUAGGCACCUGCCUAGCUUGUCUAGACCCGCCUAGGUUGCAACUCACUUAAACAGAAAAUAGAUAAUUUUCAUUUUGCAUUUUAUUUUUUUAAUAAAUUGUAAGAGAUUUGUUGAAUGCUUAAAUGAAUACACAUUAUAUGCAUGUUCCCCAUGUUUUAAUUAUGUUCUAAUACUUUCUAAUAUAUAUGUCAUUCUAUUUUGUAAUUUAGAAUAAAAUUAUAUAUAUUUUAAGUAUAAAUAAACACUUAUUUACAUGAAAUAGAUUUACUUAAAUCCGCCUAAUCCGCCUAAGCCCCACCUAAUCGCCUAGGCGCUAGGUCCCAACUCGCCGCCGGACUAGCGCCUAGCGUCUUUCAGGGGCGGAGGCACUCUAAGGCCACCAUAGGCCAAGGCCUACCCUCAUUAAGGAUCCCCCAACUAACCUUUCUAAAUAAUUAUGUAUUAUAUUUGGAUAAACUUAAUAUUAUACUUCUUUUAGUUUACACAAAACUCUUAAUUGCUAUUCACUAAUAGUUAAAAUAAGAAGUCUCUUUUUCUUUUCAAUCCCAACAACACUCGUCCUAAAAAUAAAUUUACAAUCUUAUUUUAUAAACAAAUCAAUAGCUUUUAAAAUUAAAAUCUAAAGUCUAGUUUAGUUUUAUCAAAAAAAAAUAUUCUUUUACAUUGCCAACUGAAGAAUAAUAAACUUUGAGUUUCUCCUUCUCCGCUUCUUGAAAUUUUAUAUAUUUUAUCUUUGCUCUCUUUAACUUUUUACUAAAUUUUUAAAAUUUCAUAUAUUUUGUUCACCAAAUUCCCAAUCCAUAAUUCUCAUUUUUUGUUCAGAAAUUCCCAAUCUAUUCUAUAUUGACUUGGAGUGAUGCUAUAGAUAGCUUCUACUUGAGCCAUAUUUUGUGACCACAUGAUUGUAUAGUACUUAAUGGUUGGACUACUUUAAAUCACCAAAGAAGGAAUCCAAUCAUCAACGGGGUCACAUUAUGUGGUUUCUAAAAUAUGGUCUAAAACAUAGUAUCCCUAGCAUUUUUCAUUGACUUGAGAAUGGAAGGUUAACUUCGACAUAGAAAAAACAUUUAGAGCCUAAAAAAUAAUUAGCUCACAACUCCAAGCAUGUAUUAUUUAAUUUUUUUCACAUUUAUGUGAGACCCCUCCUCACCUAAAAUCCUGGCUCCGCCACUGGUGUCUUUUAGAAUUACAAUCCUAGUAAGUCAUUUUCAACUUUUCAGGCCUUACCUUUUCAAAGGCUCUAGACGUAUAUGUAGGAUAUUCAAACCUAUGAGACUUGCCUUGGGCAGCAAGAAUCCAAGAAAUAGCGGUGGUGUUUGACCAGGUCAAUAUUGUAAGACCCAGCAACUUACAAGGGCCAAGACUUGUUCAUUGCAUAUACAACAAAAUAAUUGUUUUUUAUAAUAUUUUGUGAGCCGAAAUAAUGAUUUUGGUAAAGUUCCAUUUCGAUGCCCAAAGUUUUAAUUAGGGGUGUGCUAUCCACACAUCUCAUUUUACUUCUCACACACCCCUUGAUAAUUUUUGUCCGUUGAUCUUCUUCAAUUCAUCCGAUCCGACGGCCGAAAAUUAAAAAAGUGUGUGAGAAGUAAAAUGGAAUGUGUGGAUAUCACACCCCUUUAAUUAUCGCAAUUGAAGUCUUUGUAGCUUACUCAUUAUUGUAAUCGAAGGACAAUAUUUUAAGGGGUGAAGUACAAAGAAUUAACCUAAAAAUUAGGUGAUUUCAAAUUACUCCAAACUUUUUAAAAUAUUUUAAAUAAUUACUUAAUUGUCUAAAAACCUAACAUCUGGUAGGUUACGGAACCUGACCAACAUUAAAUAAUGAGAUGGACAAAUAUUAAAGUUGGUUUCAUUAAUCAAUGUUUUUGGAGUUCUAAUCCUCCCAAAUGACCCAUUUUAGUCAAGUUAAACCAUAAUUUUGCUUUGAUAAAUCCAUCAAUUUGAAGAUUCAAAUCUAUGUCGAUGCUUGAGAGUUAAAACACACUUUGUAUUUAUCCAUGUCAUCACAUGCUAGUGAACCUAAUAGAUGUCAAUUUUUUAAAACUUUAGGUUGUAUUUCAAAUGUUUAAAAGGUUAUGAUCAAUAUGUUUUAAAAGGUUAUGUCCAUUUUUGUCAAUAUAUAUGUUCAAGAACGUUACCCGCAUCUUUUCAAUAUAUAGUUUGUAUAAGAUGCUAAGAAGAAUCUAAAAAAUCGGACUCUGUAGACUCUUUGUUAUCUCAUAUUUUUUACACAAUAUUUUAUAAUAUUGGUAUGGAAAUUGAUUUUAUAUUAAAAUGUGACAAAAAGUCGAUGAAGAGUCUUAUUUUAAGAGAAUCUCCUUAACAUUUCUCUUUGUAUAAAAGUUGUCAAGCCAUUGUCCAUAAACCGAGGCAAAUAUUAAACUAUAAAGACUAAUUAAGAUGGAGGCAGAUUAUCUUCCCUCUCACUUCUCGUGUCCUCCUGUUUUGUAUGGUCACAGUUAAGUCAUAUAAAUAAUUUAUUUUUUAUUUUUAUAGAGAUAAUAAGACAAAAAUGAAUAGUAAUAUAAAAUGUUGACAUAGCUUAACCGUGACUACACAAACAGGAGGGCACGGAAAGUGGGAGGGCAGAGUCCAAUUAAGAUAGUUAAAACUGCAGAGAUCAAAAUGAAACUUCGCUGAAACUGCAAAGACGAAGAUGAUUACUUUGAACAAGGAAAUAAAAUAUGUUUUUUUUUUUUUUUUGAAAACAGAAAUAAAAUAUGUUUAGCCAAUGUUAACCGGCGUAAUUACCAAUCCAACUUUGGAUGUUGACUGUGCACAAGAAUCUUAGCACCAAUUAAAAAAACCUAAUUUUUAAUUUUUAAUUUUCUUCCUGGGUGGAUGCUUUGGUCAUUGCGAUGAUUAAUGUCCAUCGUUGAAUUUUUGCUAGCUGGUGGGGUCCACCGUAUCCAACCGUAUAUAUCUUUGUCUACAAUGUUUCAAAAAAUAAGUCUUAAAUAAAUAAAAAACUAACAAAAAAGAUUUCAAAAUUUCGAGUUUUAACAACAAAAUUAUGUUAUAAUUUUAUUUAAUGAUAAGGAUAAGAGAAAGAAAAAAACAAAAAACAACAAAAACCUAACUAAAGGCACAUGCAAAGAACACCCAACAAAUCCUUCAGUUGAAUAACCCUUUGACAUAAUCCAAACAUAUUUUAUUCCUCUAAAAUUAAAAUUUCAAAUUGAAGUAAGUUCCGUUCAAUUCAGAACCACAUUCGGGGCGGUAUGGUUGGGAGGGAGUUGGUCAGGUAUGGGCGUUGACGUUAAUCUUUAUUAUGUUUUUUUUUAUUUAUUUUUAUUUAUUUUUUAUCUUUUAGCCACACAUGACUUUAACGGUGUGGAUGUUGAUCAUUGUCAUGUAUUUGUUUUAUCUUUUUAUUGCAUUCUGGUGAAAGAACUUGAAAAUCUGGGACAAGCAUCUACCGUUAAGUUUCAUAAAUACUGUAGUAAAUUUCAUAAACAGUGUAGUACCAUUAAGUUUCAUAGUAUAGUCAGUUUCAUAAACAGUUUGUGUGAGUAGCACGCAGAUCUGCGCAUCAAAUUUUUUUAAAUAUUAAAAUUAUGUCUUUUUCAUUAAAAUUUAAGUUUUUUUUGUCUUUUUUAUUUAACUUUAAGAGUUUUUCAUUAAAAUUUAAGUUUUUUUCCAUUAAAUAAAGUUAUAGCAUGAUUUUUUUUAUUAAAAUAAACUUAGUCUAUCAAAAGGAGUAUAGAAGAGUUUGAAAAGCUUACACCGUUUUUUCUAAUCUUUGGACAAGCAACAACUCUAGUCCAAACCAAUGUUCAUAUUAUGUUGUAUUAAAGCUUAGUUUUUCUUGGAAAUCAUACUCAUAAUAUUAGUAUGAAAAUUGACACUAAACUGUUAAGUAGCAGAGAGCUUAUAAAAAGUUAUAUUUUGAGAGAGUCAUCUUAGCAUUUUUCUCGUGAAAAAUGUAACAAUGAUAGGACAUCAGGAUAUGAGAUAAGCAUUAUUUUAAAUAUUUAUUAAAUGUAACGUUUUACGUUCAUAGUUUGAUCUUUUCUCAACUUUCAAUCGUUAAUGCAAAUGAAUUCCGCAAUUAUCCAUGCAAACCUAAAUAACACAACUCGUAAUGUUUUUGGGCACGUAAGUGGUCAUCCUUUGCGAGUUAGCAUGACUCUUCUAAAGAUAUAAGUAAUUUGGAGAAAUUUUUUUAUUUGGAUGCCUGACCACGUAGCUAAUCAGAUCAAUCUCACAAAAAUAUAAAAUCUUUUUAAAAUCAAAUCGCAUUUAAAUCACACACGUCUUAAUCAUUUACUGCCCUAAUCAAUUGGUUAUACCCUUUCUCCAAAGCUUGAAAAUGGCGUUGGCCCACGAAAUCUAUGGUCCCAAUUUCUCAUGCCCAACAUUUUUCCAAAAAUUGAUGAAAAUUGUCAAAAGGCAUGAGGUGGGGUUGGUGUUCUUUUGUUCCAACAAAGUAACAUUCCAAUCACUCACUCACACACCCUUAAACCCCAGAAAUUAAAUAUAAAAUAUAAAAAAGGUGGGCAAUCCCAAAGUCACCGUCAUAGCCGACCCACCACCGCCACCAUCCCUAAACCCGCGUUCACACCUGCCAGUGCCACCUUUGUACCCGCGUUUUUUAUCCACGUUUCACACGAAGUAGGAUUAUCUUCUUUUUUUUCUUUUUUUUUUAUUUGAAUGAUUUCAAUUAAAUCAUGUUAACAUUUUACAUAAAUUUUUUUGUAGUAUAUUGAUAUUUUUAUACUAUAGAAAUGAAAAAUUCGGUUAAGCUACAUAAUAUACAAAUUAAUUUAGUAUCGAAUCGUCAUCUAUAAGAUUCGAACGUAAGAUCUCUUAUUUUUAAGUGAGGAAUACCAUCAAACUGUAAUACUAGCUGUCAAUUAAAGACUACUACUUUAGUUAAGUUGGUUUCUUUGUAUGAGUGAUGGGUUUACUUUUGUAAUAUACGUUGAUACAUUUAUUGCAACGAUAUCCACACAUAGUCUACUUUUUAACACAAAAAAACCAUCUUUUCCACCGAAACAUUAAUGAGACAAAUGAAGGUAUAUAAUUUAAUUCUUUAAAUCUUGUCAAUUCAUUUUACGUCGCAUUAAAUACAACAUGAGUUCGUAAAUCUUCUGCAUGUAAAAAAAGAGCCAGGUAUUUGUGCCAACUAAACAUUUACUUAAAUUCAUAAUUAUUAUCAGUUGUCACGGUAGCGAAAAUUAAUAAUAUUUAUGCACAUUGAUGCAGAUUCGAUUAACAGCCUCGUUGAUAUGAGUGUUGGACUUACAUGCUUAUGCUGAUGUGAAGUGUGAACGGCAAGUGACAUAUAAGUCCAUAUUUAUACAAUAUUACAAAACUUCUUCCUUCCGCCCCACACUUUCUCAGUUUGUCAAUCUCCGCGUUCACACUUGCAUUUUUCAUAUUUUCAAAAAGCCACUUGGUUCUUCUUCUUCCUCCUCAAUUUCCUUCUUGUUGUUGUUGUUUCUGCAAAUCUGUACCUUAUAUGAAACUCGAGCUCCAGACAGACCCAGCAGCACACCCAGCAGCUGAAGGCCUCUCCACCAUCUACACCUUCCUCCAGAACUCUCUCCACGCGCAAAUGAAUGAGAACGGAAACGGAAACGCCAGGAAACGGCGUCGUAAAGACUCCGGCGGCGGCGAGAAGAAGAAGAAGGAGCUGAAGGGCGUAGUCGCCUCCUUGUCGUUGCUAGAAGAGGAGGAGAAGCAGGACGAGCGGGAGCACGACAGGGCAUCGAAUGACGACGCGUCGUUUAUCCAAGAGAAGCACACGGAGAGAACCAAGGCCAUGCUCGAUUGCUACUCCAAUUUCCAGGAGUGCUCCUCGGAGGUGGAAGAAUCCGAAACGAUGAAGCGGAGAAAAUCGAGAAGCGCCGCCGUUUCGGCGGCCGUGGUGACGGCGGCUGUGUCGACGGAAGCCGAUGGAGCUGAUAAAGGUAAGCCGGGAGUCGGGUCGGGUCAACAUCGGCGGCUGUGGGUCAAGGACAGGUCGAAAGCGUGGUGGGACGAGUGCAACCAGCCGGAUUUUCCGGAAUCGGAAUUCAAAAAGGCGUUUCGGAUGGGGAAAUCCACGUUCGAUUUGAUAUGCGAGGAGCUUAACUCCGCCAUCGCGAAGGAGGACACGACGCUGCGGUCGGCGAUUCCGGUGCGGCAGAGAGUGGCGGUGUGCCUGUGGCGUCUGGCCACCGGCGACGCGCUCCGCCUCGUGUCGAAACGAUUCGGCCUCGGCAUCUCGACCUGCCACAAGCUCGUUCUCGAGGUCUGCUCCGCGAUUCGGACGGUUCUGAUGCCAAAGUAUCUGCAGUGGCCGGAGGAGGGCGAGGCGAGGAAAAUUAAAGAUGAGUUCGAGGGUAUUUCGGGAAUUCCAAACGUUGCUGGGUCUAUGUACACCACGCAUAUACCCAUCAUCGCACCCAAAAUCAGCGUGGCUGCGUACUUCAAUAAACGGCACACCGAGAGGAACCAGAAGACUUCUUACUCGAUCACCGUGCAGGGUGUGGUGGACCCCAAAGGCGUUUUUACCGACGUGUGCAUCGGAUGGCCAGGAUCAAUGCCGGAUGAUCAGGUGCUGGAGAAAUCGGCGUUGAAUCAGAGGGCUAACAAUGGUCUGCUGAAGAACGUGUGGAUUGUUGGGGGUGCUGGGUACCCUCUGAUGGACUGGGUGCUGGUGCCGUAUACCCAGCAGAACCUAACGUGGACCCAGCACGCUUUCAACGAGAAGAUUGGGGAGAUUCAGAAUGUCGCCAGAGACGCGUUUGCUAGGUUGAAGGGGAGGUGGCUUUGCUUGCAGAAGAGGACGGAAGUGAAGCUGCAGGACUUGCCGGUGGUUCUCGGGGCGUGCUGUGUUUUGCACAACAUUUGUGAGUUGAGGAAUGAGGAGAUGGAUCCCGAGCUCCGGUUCGAGCUCAUCGACGACGAGAUGGUCCCGGAGGUCGCUCUGAGGUCGACGAGCUCGAUGAAGGCCAGGGAUGCCAUUGCUCAUAAUUUAUUGCACCACGGCCUCGCGGGUACAAGUUUUCUUUAGGUAACUUUUCUCAGCUCGUUACAUGCACAAAUCACAGCCUGACACGUACUCGUUACAUGUACAAGUCAUUAACAAAUCACAAUCUGACACGUACAUGUAAAGAGGCGGGUAUUUUUCUUUCCCCCCUUAUUUGUAAUUUGUGUGGAGGGGCUCUUUGUAAAAGAUAUACAUCAAGAUCACAGAAAACACGUUGUUCACAGAAAACACGUUGUUGUAACAUGAGAUUUCACUCCAAUUGCCAAUUAAGAGACUAAUGAAGUUGCAUGGCAAAUUAUUUAUUAAUUAUUUUGGAUGUUUUUUUUCCCUAUUUUUCUGGAACAAAAUCCUCUCCGGAUCAUUUCCAUCUGGUUCCUUCGGACCAAAUCAUUUCCAUCUGGUUCCUUCGGACCAAAUAACCUCAGUCGUGCACGUAAAAUUGUGCGGCUAAGAUCACUCUUGCUCUUUUAACUCUCUCACUCUCUCUUUCUCCUCAACGUUCUUGCCUUCUUCUCGAUCGACGAACCAGAACCGCAAACAGAAAGAAGAAGAAAAUCGGAGGGUUUGAAGGUCGGGGAAACAUGCAGUUUGAAUUGGGGUGGGAGGUGGAGGGGGGGGAGGUGAGUGAUGGGAGAGAGAUCCGCGGGAUCCGGAUGAAAGCGGAUCCGAAGAACAUCUGUUCCCUUCUUUUCUAUCCAACAGGAUCCUCUUCGGAUCUUUUUGAUGAGGAUUUUGAGAAUAUAUAAAUCGUGUUCGUUCAUUGUACAUCGUUUAUUCAAUUUUUGUCAAGUAAUGUAUUUAAUUUUAAAUAAAAAUAUUUAAAAUAAUUUUUGAUCACACGAUAUAUAAAACGGAUAAGAUUGACGGAUCUUCAAAUCCUUACUAUCCUUACUAAGAGAAUACAGAAAUGCACCAUGACCUCCAUUUCGUGGCUCGAGAAAGGGCAUAAUCCGUUCAGUGCUUGGAUGAUCUCUCUCGCGUAGAUUGUCUGAGUACGUUAUUCAGACAACACCUUUCACACCAUAGGACACUUUAUACUUUAAGUACUACCCAACCUCCCGACCUCGCAUUGAUCUUGUCGUGUGAAUAUUGCCUUUAAUAAGAUAUUCUUACCAAAGUUUAUCUCGUGUCUCAUACAUGGGAGAAUCUUGGGUGCCUACAAGAUAUUCCGUCGCAACUUUGAUUGUAUGCAAGAUUCUCUCCUGCUUCGCACCAAAUUUGUAAUGGUCUAAUUAGUUUAUGCAUUCAGCUUGUAGUAGUCUAUUUAGUUUAAGAAUCUUUAAUAUCAAGUCGUUAUCAUAAAGUCCAGCCAACAGUUCCCCAAAGUAGGAGGCAUAUUCCAUGCUUAACACUUACGUUUGAAACAGUUUAUGUCCCAAUGACUUCACUGAAAACGUCACAAUAUACAAAUAGUAAGUUGAGACCUACCGUAAACAUCACGAAACAGGCUCCAGCAAGCCGCAUCUUCCGGCAUUCCUGUGUCGUCGUCGUAAACUUGCGCUGGAGCUGCUUGUGCACAUUACUCGUUUCUGUAACAUCCACGCACCGAGACAACUCAGACAGAUUUCGUAUCCGCCAUUUUUUGUCACCGUGGGAUUCGAAUUCUAUGUUCAUUGCCGUCAUCUGGUAGACUGAAUGGAAAAUGUGCAAAAUGGAUCUUCAAUGCAGGGGACUCGGGUUUCUUGUUAUCAAACUUGUAACCUGCACGCAUCCAUGUUGCAGACGUUGAUAAGCGAUGAGUUUACUCAAAUUACUAGAUUCAAUGAAGCUUUAUCAAUUAACUAUUUAUGUCAAAUGGGAUUCUAAACCGUAAAAAGUUAUUUUUUCCCGAAGAAAAAAAAUUGGUUAAGAGUAUUACACCGAUUGCCAUAUGGUAUAUUUGAUAACUGGAACAUGGAUUUCACAUAUAUGGCAGACAUGGAUAGAUCAGAGUUAAUUGCUCAUAUAAUACCUUGAAGAGCUUCCCUAGCAGUCAGAGCACACUUCGGAUCAGCAAACUCCACAAAGCACAGAACCAUAGCCUUAUCGCCACUCUGCAGUUCAUGUAAAGGUCUAGUAAACAUAGAGACGAGCUCAAACAAAAGAAAAGUACGAGGACGUUAAUAGAAAUAGAAACCAAUAACUAUGUGCCCCUCAAGGAAAAAAAUGGUUGCUAGAUCACACGUAGCCUGUCUGCUAUGCUAAACUAAAGGGUAAAACACCAAUUACAGUAUAAGUUACCGCAUAAUCUUAGCGAAACUAUAAUGAAGUCUGUGAAGAUUAAGAAGUAGGAAGAUAAGAAGACUUACACGUCUAGGCUCCUUGUGAACGACUCUGAUAUCUUUAAAGCCAACAAAUGGACGAAAUAUAUCUUCGUUGCAAGUCAAGGUUUUUAAAUGACAGAACAAAGCAAUAGAAUAAGCAUAUUUCAGCCACAAUCAUAUCCAUUUCCAUAAACUCUGAAUCCAGGGUUAGGAACUUAGGAGUAAAAGGAUACGGCUUACUUCUCUUCGGGUACAGUCUGUGGGAAGUCCAUCGACAAACAAAACGUUUGAUUCCCCUUUCACAGGAAGACCAUCGGCAUUUCUCGAAGAGCCAGUUGGCCUUUCUAAACUUAUGUCAGCAGGAACAUUUGGACUAAUGCUUACCGCAGCAACAUCCUGUCUCUGGCUUAUCAAACUCGGAACUUCUAAAAGUGAUGAAUAACCGUUUGUGCUGGCUCCUGCUGUUACACCAAGAACUGACUCAUGACGAAACCGAAGACCUCCGGCAUCAUCUACAGCAUAUACCCCAGUACCAGUAGUCAUUGAUCUUAUCUGCAAGCAGAUCAAAUACCACAAUCCCUUCACAAUAAUUCAUAUACAUUAACAAAAUGAACAUUAUCAUAUACUUAGGGCUUGUCUGGGACUGUUUCCGGAAGGGCUAAAAUCGCUUUCUAACAACCAAAACCGCUUCUGAAUGCCUUUGGCAGAUUAAACUUAAAAUCAUUUAUGGGUCAUUAAGCACUUCUACUGAAAGUUCAUUUCCAAUAAGCACUUGGAUUUUGAUAAAAUUUCGACCUGUUUCCAAUAAAAGAACUUAUAGGCUUCUAGCAAAAGUGCUUAUGAACACAAGUGAUACCUACCGAAGCAGUCACAAACAGGCCCUUAUAGUAACUACGUUAGUGUCGAACAAAUUCUUAGUUCUUACAUCUCCCUGCAGAAAAUCGGAAGCAUAACUCCGCUGCGUAUCGGUAGAGGGAAUCGUAGGAUUGAAUAGCAGUGAGGGUGUUUCCGACGACAAGUAGCCGGGAAAGCUUGGCCUUGCAACACUGUCUGUCACAAUACAAUAUAAUCCACCCAUCAAUCAUUCAUCAAUUUCUCUAAUCUUGUAUUAAACAGAAAAACAAUCUAAUUAAGUAAGACACAAACUUUCCAAUCAAACCAUGCAUUAGAAAGCAUUGAAUUGAUGAAGUAAUGAAUAGCUUUUUUGGAUGCUGAGAAAAUGCGAGAAAGUGUGCAGGAAAAUUGAGAAUUUGGGGGUUGUGGAAUUAGGUUUAGGUCAAAACAGAGAACCUCUUUCGGGCGAGGUGAAGUAUAUACGGUAGGGAUCGCCCAUGUCUUCUUCCACCGCCUGUUUCAGCUGAUGAGAUCCACAACCUCCGGUUCUUCAGCAGUGAAAGCACCCUUUGGGUUUGGUUUGUACCACUCGCAGACUUGCAGUACCGAAUUGGCGCAUUCAAGGUCGAAACGCCGUAGUUUUGGAUUUGGAUCGAAUAACUUAGGGAUUUGACUAUAAUAUUGUGGCAGUAUGUUGGAAAAAGUGUGUGAACCUAUAAAGAUUGAGUAAUGUUAAAUAGAUUAAAUUUGUAGAAAAAAUUUUGGAAAUCAAGAGAGAUGGAAGUUGAUGAUUGAUUUAUUACUUGAACGUUGAUAAACGUGUUUAUUCCUAACACAGUUUGCAAAUUUAGUCUCUCUUGUAUUAUCCAUAAAAAUUACGCUUUUAUAAUGAAAAAUUCAAAUCUGAUGGUAAUAUAUUGAACUCAUAAUAUUAAACUCAUGCGUUCAAUAUAUUGAACUCAUAAUAUUAAACUCAUGCAUUCAAUAUAUUAAGGGAACUUUAACGAAAAGCACCGGUACUGUUCACUUUAACGAAAAACCAUAUUUUUACACUAAAAAGUCAAUCCUGGUAGUAUUCACUUUACCCUUUAUUUUGUCCUUAUCAUUAAAACUUAAAGUUUUCGAGCCCUUUUCAUUAGUUUUCUUAUAUAUUAAACUAUUGAGUGAUAUUUAUAAUUAAAUUUGUAUAAAAAAGUAUGACUCUAACUUUCACCAAUGUAGCCAUUUAGUAUUAUAGUAUUACGUUCAAAUCUCGUGGAUGGUGAAUUCAAUACCAAAUUAGGUUGUCAAUUGUGUGGUUUAACCGAACUUCUCAUCUCCAUAGUGUAAAAUAUAUCUUGUACAAAAAAAAAAAAUUCACCAAUGUAAUAUAGUGUUAUAGGCUCAAUUUACCAUAGAAGAUCUUAUCUCUACUAAUUAAUGAAACCUUCUUGGCAACCAAAAGAUGGUGAAAAGAAAACUUAAUCUUCUAUCACACAAAAAAAAAUGAUAGGUAAUAACGUAAUUUCACAUGUUCAAAUUUUACUAUUUUUUAUUGAAGUCUCACAUACGGAUGAUAUUAAACUACCUCUAAUAUUUAAAAAAACAAAACAAAACAAAAAAAAACCAAAAACAAAAACCUCCAUUCCCCCCUUCCCCCCCCAACAUUCUCUCUCUUUCUCUUCCUCUCUCCUUCUCAUUUUCUAAAAAUAUAUAUAAACAAAUGCUAGUAUAUAUUUAAUAUAAUUAUCAUUUCGACGGUGAAUUUUAACAUUAGACUCUGUAUUCAUGGAAAUUAGGAUUUACAUGUUUCUAAAUUAUUACCAUGAAAUAAGUUUGAGUUUCACUUCCAUAUUCCGUAGCGUUAGGUUAAACUUGGUGGUUCACAGAAAAUGAUAGGAGGUAGCCUGUAAAAAUUAGGUCCCACAACCUCUCCACUUGUCAGAAAAAAUAGGAAAAAGUCUUGGUCUGUCGAAAAAAUAGGAAAAUGGAUUUAAAUCCUUGAGGACCACACCCACAUUAAACCUAUCUCCCACUACAGACCAACACGGCAACACCCCCGCCACCAAAUCUCUCCGCGUCACGGCGGCUCCCGAGAUAGAGGUAAUGCAAGGAGGAGGAAUCCGGUCAGGCUCCAUGGAAGUCGAUUGGUUCUGAUUCUCUUGCUUCUGGAGCUUCUGGAGGGUUCUGGCUCGAGUUCGAACGCCGAGAGAGGAUGGCGGCGAAUUGGAAACCCCACUACACCUAACUCGCCGGCAAUUUCGAUUUCUCCGUCUCUCCGCCCCGUAGGAAUUUGGAUAGAGAGGAGAGAGAGGGACUGGAACGGUGACGAAAGAGAAGCAGGGCGAGGUGAGAGAGAGAGAGAUGAAAGGUGGGCUAGCUUCUAUUUUUUCCGACAGGUGGACGCAAGUGGGCCACCACUUUUACUUCUUGUCCACAGGUUGACCGGUUUCAUUAUUUUCAAUCUUCAAACUUAUUAACAACCGUCAGAUUUACAUAUUUUUCAUCUUGACCGUCCGUACUUCGUACCUCGAAAAGCUACGGAACAUGGAAAAAAUUUCCAUGACGUUUGACCAAAUUUUACCAAAAAAGACAAAAAAAGGUUAAAAAGCAGUUGAUUCUCUGAUUGUAGACCUGUCCGCAGGAGAUCGUAUCCUACGGUAAUUACAAUACGAGGUCCAGGGUGUUUCAGCAGGAGCCACUACGUCACUGACCUGGGCAGUCAACAUAUCCACAUCCCACUAAAUGCGAGUGCACACCACGCCCCAAUCAGCCAACUAGUUGGGCCGUCACUGCAUUUCGUCAGAAUUUUUUUAUAGGAAAACUAAUGAAAAGGGCUUGAAAACUUUGAGUUUUAAUGAUAAGGACAAAAUAAAGGGUAAAGUGAAUAGUACCAGGAUUGACUUUUUAGUGUAAAAAUGUGGUUUUUCGUUAAAGUGAACAGUACCGGAUGCUUUUUGUUGAAGUUCCCUUUUUUUUUUGUUUCCAAAAUGAUGACAAAGAUAAUAUGUCAUAUUUCUAAAUUAUAAUAAAAUUAUAAAUGCCAUCAGAAAGGAUUUGUGUUUUCCUUUUUCCUACAUAAUUUGUUCAUGUUGAUUAUCGGUGUGUGGCCUCAAUUAUGGAUGUAUGCUUGUUUAUGAGCCUAAUCAGCAGUGCAAGCUCCUCUGCGUGCUAAGACGUGAGUAUACGCUAUAUUGGGGGGCCCAGGUGGAAGUGUACACUGCCAGAACGUUCAGUUAAUGAGUGGUCAAGGGGCUGUUUGCAUGGACGCUGUUGGAGAGGUUCAUCGUUUGCCCUUGUCCUGCUUUGGGACACCUCAUCUGGGACAUGCUACAUCUCGAUACGUUGCAAGAGCUGAUUCACUAAGGUCGUCUGCUGCAUAAGGGCACUCGUUAAUUAUACGACUUGUUGGGUGAAGUGUUGUUCGCCAUGUGGGAUGGAAGAGCUUUGACGUUAUACGUCUCCUUGAAUGGUGGAAUUGUAAUGGAAUUCAGGCGCGAGAUUAAAACUGGGAUAUGUCAAAUUUGUGAAAAAAGAGGGUGAAAAAUACCCCCGAUUCAAUCAUCUAUUCAAAAAUAUAAAGCCGGGACAAUUAAACUGGUCUUGGGCCGAUUUGGGUAGCUAGGUGGGCCACAAGAGUAGGCGGACCACGGGCACGGGCUGCAUCUCAGGUGCGGAUGGGGCCGCAUGGGCGCGUGGGUCUUGGGCCCUUAUUCAUCUUGGCGCGGUUUAGGCUUGCGUGACGUUCAGGGCCUGCAAGGUCUUAGGCUAGUUGUGCUGCAGCAGCUUGUUAAGGCGCUGCCCUGUGGGCUUGCCGCUUUGUAGUUACUCGAUGAGCUGCUACUCCUUGGGCUGCAACUGUUGUUGCUUCAUAGCCUAGCUGAAGGAAUUAUUUUGAAAAACAUGUUCAUUUGAGCAACAUCAUAUAGCAUGCAAUUAACAAUUAAAGGCGGAAUCAUGCUUGUAUGCACCCAAAAACAAAACAUUACCAUGAAAUUCAAAGCCUAGUAGAUUGGUGAACCAAUAAUCAACUCAAAACAAAGUGAGUUGAAAUUUUUUUACCUUUGUGGAUUCCUCUUUGCAUAAGCAAAGGCUAAUCACCCAAAGAGAUAGGGCCUUCAUUCCUUGCUUCUUAGAUCCAUGGAUUUGGAUGGAAAAAUAGGUUCUCCAAGUUCCCAAAAUUGAGAACCUCUAAGUCUCUUCACCAAGGUUAGAUUGUAGAAGAAAUGAGUGACCUUGGAGUUGUUAGGAUUGCUAGAUGUACCCUCCAAGGUGUUGGCUUCUUUAGAGAGAAAUGGAGAGACUAUUCUCACCAAUUUUCCCCAAAAUAAAAACCCUUAAUCACAUAAUGAAUAUUUGGCUAUAAAGUCAUUUAUAUAGUCCCUUCAAAUAAGUGACCUAAAGAACCAAAACCCUAAUUCAUCUAACAUGGCCGGCCUACCUAGGGAUUUUUUGGGCUUUUGGGCCUUUGUGAAUCUUUAUUCAUUAAGUUGUCAUACAACUUAAGUCAAUGGGCUUGACUUUCGAAGCCCAUUGGGCCUUAAGGUCCAAAACUAUCCCGAGGUCUUUAACGAACUUAUUCGUUUGAUUAAUUAACAUAUUAAUUAAUCCUUGCCAUAAUUUAAAUGAUUAAACCAUUUAAUCAUUCUUACUCAUCUCCGUUUAAUCUUCAAUCUCCACCUUUUAUGGUGUGCGAUCCAUUAGGUUCCUUUUAGCGAGGUAGUGGGCGAUUAAAACCAUUUUACAUCGAUUGUGAAUUGAAACUAUUUUCAAUUCUCCCUUUAGUGAUUACACACGUUUAGGGCUUCCACAAACCAUGGUUGACGCCUAGCAGCAUGUCAUGGUUACCCAAGCUAAUCAGAAGAGGUUAGAGAACCUAUUCAGUUCGGGAUUACAAAUGCAAUACGGUCUUUCUCUAAUCUAAUACUCUUGACCACAUUGUUUGGUUUGAUAGUUUAUUUGUUCAUGUCUACUAUCCAAUGUGAAUCUUGUGCUUAUAUGAUUUACUUGAAUGUGAUUUGGAACGCAUUCCCUAAUCUCAUUCACACUCUGGCCAGAGAUUCUAAAUCAUAUCAUAGAGUAUUCUCCCUCAACUGUUUGAAGGUUAGAGAUCCCUUGUUGCGCAUUCACUUGUCUCCAUAGCUAAGUCACUUGACCCCAACGAUGCCGUGGACACCCCGAGGGGUGACUUUGACAUAAUCAAAGAUCAAGGACUUAACCACAAGACAACUGUGAUGCCUCAGGUCAAAGGACUACUUUGCAUUAUCCCAACCAUGAGUUCUUAUGUGACAUGGAAUAUGAGAACUCUUCGUUGAUCACGUUCAGUGUACUCAUUCUCUAUUGAGCACCUACGUACUUGUCUUGAUGUCACACACACCAAUGACUCGAGACUAAUCACUCUCCCUGAGAGAAGACAUAGUACGUACCGAUCUUAACGGACUGUCAAUGCCCAAUUGACAAUCCUAUGAUCAGGAACAUUUAGGAUGUGUCUACGAAAGAAUGGUCUCAUGAAUCUAACUUCAUUAGAUUACAUUCUCCCAAUCACAUAUUCCUUGGACUUUAUCGUUUAAGCAUAUAACAUUUAUAUGAGACGACUCAAACAAUAAUAUUUGCCCUUUAUAUGUAAAACUAGAUUAGUUUAACAUGUGAAAUGUCCGUAAAGCAUCAUCACAUGAUUGGCUUUAGGGCACAUUUCCAACACUAGCUGCCAUGGAGAUGUCCCACUUUCCACUGCCACGACAGUUGUUGUGGCUGCCAUGGUGGUGGUGCUCCGCGGUGGCAAGGUUACUCCUCUUAUCGUGGUGAGUCUCGUGGAUUGUCGUGGUAGGGCUACAUCGUAAUUUUCAUCAUUUGAUCUGAACGUAGGAAUUUACGUUCGUCGUGCUUUUCGAAUUUCCUUCCAUUAUAUUUUUCUCCUACAUUUAUUCAAAGAAUUAAAAAAAUUCUAGGAAUAAGAACGUAUGAAAAAUUUACGUAUGAAAGAGAAAAGAUAAACUUUGAAUGCGAAAGUCUUAUUCAAGCGUGUGAAUCAAACUCUCAAUGAAAGCAUCAAUUUGUGGAUGCAAAUUUCCACUGUUUUCUCAUUUGACAAAAAUGCACCUGCAAAAUAAUAGUACCUAAUAUUAUGGCUAAAAGCCUCACACACCACGAAGAAUAGAGGGCUUUAGGCGAAUAAUCUCCAAUACCAAAGUUAGAAUUCUGUAAAUAAUGUGCUUAGGAGUUUAUGGGUAGCAAAUGACUUAGCAUUUUAGUGGGAUAAGAUGGGUAUUUAUAGGAGAAUGGUCAACCCUUAGGGUGAGGAGUGGCCGACCUUUUAUGGUGUUGUUGACCCUAAAAACUAUCAAGCCUAUGUGGCGCGCAUGCCAAUUAACUAAUGAGUUAAUUACGUCAUUCGGUUGUAUGCGGGCGUGCCAACGCGUCAGCCGAGCUCGCCCGAAGAGUAAAAUAUGUUGAUGUUACGUUGGGUGCGCUACUGACUUCUGAAUCUCGUGACUGGGGCCGAGGAAUGAACACAUCUCGGCCUUCAGGUUCUAGAGCAUGAAGACAAGGUUGUUAGUUCUGCGAAGUUCAAUAUCAAAUUUGGCUUUCGAUGUGCCGAAUGUAGUAACUUGUAACACUUCACUUCGUCGAAAAAGCUAAUGAGAUGACCUCUGCCAAUAAGGAUUCAAAAAUCCUUCUCGACCGAGACUUGGAUAGAUAACCAGUCAGUUUCGACACAGUGCUGUUUAUCCAAACUGAAGGUAUUUUGCGGUCGGUUGAUUCUACAGCAACAGUAUUGUUUAUCCAAACUGAAGAUGUUCGCCAAUUGCCUUCGUAGUGUUGUUUAUCCAAACUGAAGAUGAGUCGGCGAAAAAGGGAAAUAAAAAUCUAAAGGUUGUUGAGAGGUUUCGUGUAGAACGAGGGUUUGCGCAAAGUAGUUUGUGUGUUGAGUUGGAGGUCUCCUUUGUGUUGCACGGUUUCUCGUAUUUAUAGGGAUGAGUACACGGUUGAUAAGUUUUGAAGCUCCACCAUGCUACUAAAAUUCUUCCAUCGUUCAAGCUUUCGGUCAAAUCCUAAUCGCUUUGUAUAAUUCGCAUGCAUCUUGUGCCUAUGCAAAGCCAAACAGUAUUUAAUGAUGAGACCACGAGUUUAAUGAGACGUAUUUCUAUCUCAAAUGGACUCUGGGGUGAUAUUUGCUUGACUGAUGGUGUUCAACUGCGACUUAAACUCAGUUUAUACCAUAUUUAAGGCCUCGUAUUUAGAUCUCGUAUAAAUACCCAGGGGGACUUAAAUGUAAUUAUGUGAUAAAUGAAUGGGUAAAUAUGUAAUAAGUGAGGAGUCCUUAUUCUAUAAAAGGACCCCUCACCUUCACAAUUGAUGGAGGCCAAUUCCUAAGGCUCCUCACCCCCUUCAAGCUCUCACUCUCAGAGCUCUCUCUCUCCCUCAGAAAUAUAAUCAGUGUGGACGUAGCCCAAAUCUUGAGGUGAACCACAAUACACCUUGUGUUAUUUACAUUACUUGCAGAUUCACGGUCAGAUUUACGUUGUUCCAAGACAUCCGGUUUUGUGCAUCAACAAACUCUAUGAGGAAAACUGAUCCGUUUGUCAUCUAUGACUUUUCAAACAAACUGAAAAGCCUAUCUAGGAAUCACAUCAUCACCAAAAGCCUAGCUUUCCUAGAUUUCAUGUCUCAUCCAUCACCCAAAACCAUCAUCUUUAUUGUUGCAUUAACCCACACAUGCAUCCAUCCAUCCUUGCAUGCAUCAUUGCCGUGCGUAUCCCAAUAUCCCAAAUGGUCAAAUCAAUGGGGAUUUAGACAAAUAUUAGGUUAAAUAAUUUAAUAUAUUACCAAGAGAUAAUAUCAUGAUUAAAAUCACAAUAUUAUUUCUCAAUAAUAAUCGAAAAUUAUUUCAACCUCUUUGUCAUUCAAUGGUCUAAAAUUCUGCUCAUUAAACGACAUCGAUUACUCGGGCCGAUAGUGUAAUUUUGGGUCCAAACAGGUGUAUUUGGGCGAAUAAUUGCAAGAUAUUAUGUGAAAUAAUAUCUUGCAAUUAACAUGACAAUUAUUCAUAAUUUAAAUAUGAAGUUUUGGGAGUUACGUUUUGAAUAAAAUCAAUAAAGGAUUGAUAAGGAGUGAUGAGAGGACUUUGAAUAAAUUCCAUAUUGAUUACAUUUGACUCUUUCUUGAUUGAGCUGUUAUUGUCUGCUGCAUGCACGUGGGGAUUCCGGUGUGCCUCGAGGGUAAUAUCUUCCUUCUUGUCCAAAAAUUCACUGUCACCUCCACAAUUUUUGAGAUUAUUUUUGGCUCCACAUAGAUGGUUCAGACCAUUGAAAUACAAUACAAAGUGGCAUUCACAAAAAUGUGUGUCAGAAUUUGUGUAAACAAAUGGUAGCUUUGAUCGGCCCCACGUACUAAUCUUAUAUUUAUUUGAAUAAAAAUAUAAAUAACAAUAAAUUUAGAUCCUAUCCGGAGGAUCCUUACAUCUUAUUUGUUCAUCGUACAUCGUGUGAUCAUAAAUUAUUAUAAAUUUUUUUAUUUAAAAUUAAACACAAACAGUACCUAACAAAAACUAAUCUCAUAAUAUACAAUGAACAAAUAAACGUUAGGAUCCUCACAAAGAAAAUCCGUAAACAAUCCUCUCCUAAGAACAAUAAUCCGUAAUAACGAAAAUAAGUUGCUUGCCUUGGGUAUUAAAAUCGUUAAAGCGUCAUUAAAAUGACGACUACACUGCCCCUCACCACAACGUGGAGCGUGUCACACUCCCACUCUCAAGCGCGUGACUCCGCCACUCAUCCUGCAGCAGCAAUCUGAAAAAUAUUUAUAAAGAAAUCGUCGAGCUCCGCUCCACUGCCUCGAAACUCCGUGGGCUCACAACCACCAGUCAAUCGUGAUCCGACACGUCAUCCCGAGUAGGAGCCAAAGUCUGACCAGUACACGUGGCGUGCGAAUAGCAGUUGAGGAGUAAAAACGAGAGAGGUAAAUAUUUUGGGAGGUUCUCUUUCAUCAUCUACUCGUCGUCGCAAUAAAAACGAAGCUCCCAGAGGAGUGAGAGAGAGAGAGAGAGAGAGAGUCUGUAGAGAGAGAAAAUACUGGACGGUACCGUGAGAGUGAAGAGAGAGAAAGAAUGGAGGAUCUGGAGGAGCAGGAGGAGGAGGAGGUGCUGGGUUCGAGCUUGACGAUGGAGAAGGUGGCGGCGGCCAAGCAGUUCAUAGAGAACCACUACAGAGCUCAGAUGAAGAACAUUCAGGAGCGGAAAGAGAGGUAAUCUGCAAUCUGCAGCUUCAAUUGCUUCUGGGUUUUCAUACUUAAGCUUUGUUUGGAUUGCUGAAUAAUGUAGUUUGGGGAAGUAAUUCGAGCUCUGAAUCGUGAAACUGUUCGGUGUUUGAAUUGGGUGUUGGCAUUUCAUGAAUUGGUUUCGAUUUCUGCUGUUUGGUUGCUGAGAAAAUGUGGGAAUAGCGAAAUGUGUAUUGGUAUCGUGGUUUUGUUAGUUGCAAAUGUGAUUCUGUAAUGUUUUGGGUUGAGGAAGUGUGGGGGUGAGUAAAGAAAUCAGAUUUUUUUUUAAAGAUGGAAGCAAGUAGUCAUGGGGCAAAUGAGGGUCUAAUAGGGUAGUUAUUCCGUUGGGAUAAGAAUUGGGGUUUGCGGAAUCUGAUCCGUGUGGGUUCGGAAUCGGUAUUUAUUUGGUAAUCUUAGAUUGUCUUUGUUUGAUUUAGGCUGUAUAGCAAUUAGACCACUACCCUUAGUCUGGAUCGGUAAUACUCAGAUGUUUGAUAGAAUCCAAUCUAGCAAGGGCAGUUCAUCUCUCCCAAAGUCUCCCAAAUGCCAAGGGGCCGCCUAAAAUUUGAGGUUAAUGAUAGGGUUAUUACAUUUGCUUUUCAUAGAGUUUCACACCAAAGUUCUAGAAGUAAGGUAAUUGAAAAUAAGAAACUUCUCCUCUCACAUACUCACAUACUCCGACUUAACAUGAACAAGGGUAUUCUGGUGAAAAUCAUUAAGGCCACUGCCAAAUGCUUUAGUUCAAAGAUGCAGUGAGUUACCGGCAUGAUAUUUAUUUCUGUUGCAGACGAUGGGUGUUGGAAAGGAAAUUAGCUUCGUCAGAUGUGCCAAAGGAGGUACAAGUCAACCUGAUUAAAGACUUGGAGCGAAAAGAGACAGAAUUUAUGCGACUUAAAAGGCACAAGAUAUGUGUUGAUGAUUUUGAGCCUUUGACCAUCAUUGGUAGGGGGGCCUUUGGUGAGGUCUGUAUUAAACAUAGUAUUCUAACGAACGUAUUAAAAUUUUCAUUGACCAUUGGACUCGCGUUAGCUUGAAGUUCCAUUUUAUGCUUUAGAUGUGGUUGCUAAUUGCAGUAUACCUUUCCUAAUUCACUCUCAAACUACAGGUCCGAUUGUGUCGGGAGAAAAAAUCUGGCAAUAUCUACGCCAUGAAAAAGUUGAAGAAAUCUGAAAUGCUGAAGAGAGGACAGGUAAUAUCACAUAUGCAACUUUGUUCCAAACCCACCACUGGAACUCAUUCCUAGAUUUUCAUCAUUGAAACUUUGCUGUUGAUAUAUUUUUCGUUUUGCCUUAUAGGUGGAACAUGUUAGAGCUGAAAGAAACUUGCUGGCAGAAGUUGCCAGCCAUUGCAUAGUUAAACUUUACUACUCCUUCCAGGACGAUGAGUACUUAUAUUUAAUAAUGGAAUAUCUGCCUGGGGGUGACAUGAUGACUCUGCUGAUUAGGGAAGACACCUUGACUGAAAGUGUGGCUAAAUUUUACAUUGCACAGAGCGUACUGGCCAUAGAAUCUAUUCAGAAACACAACUACAUACACAGGUUGAAGAAUUCUACUAAUAUCAUUUUAUUAAAUUUUUAUUUUGUUACCAGAAUACUUGUUAGGUGAUGAAUUAAGUAUGCAAUCUUGUCUCACCACUUCAUUUUCGCUGCCUCUGCAGAGACAUUAAGCCAGACAACCUGCUUCUGGAUAAAAAUGGUCACAUGAAACUCUCGGAUUUUGGCCUCUGUAAGCCUCUUGAUUGUACAACUUUACCUUCACUGCAUGAAAAUAGAACUAUGGAUGAUGAAAAUAUGACAGAACCAAUGGAUAUCGACACAUGCGUUCCUGAUGCGGAUAAUCGGAGUAGUUGGAAAAGCCCCGCCGAACAGCUGCAACAUUGGCAGAUGAACAGGAGGAAGUUGGUAUGUUAGCAUCUUUACAGACUGGUUUUUGCGGUAUAUCUUUAGCCUUAACCCGUAGACAUUUGCCCCUCACUCUAUUGUUUUUUGUUUCUUCGUUUUCUGAAAGGCAUUUUCAACUGUGGGGACACCCGACUAUAUUGCACCUGAAGUGUUAUUGAAGAAAGGAUAUGGAAUGGAAUGCGACUGGUAAGUUUAUACUGCUAAUUUAUUUUUAUUCUCUCUUGCAUUCUCUCAUCUUUGUGUUUAUGAUAUGUAUUGUUUGGUUUAGGUGGUCAUUGGGAGCAAUAAUGUAUGAAAUGCUUGUUGGUUACCCUCCAUUUUAUUCAGAUGAUCCAAUAACUACAUGCAGAAAGGUAAAAUGCUUAACGCUCAUGUAAAUCUGAGUGCAAAGUUUUUGUGGUGAGUCAUAGGUUUGAACUAAGGUCACUUCAGUUUCACAUACAAAAUUACUCACUGUAUUUGUCAAUUUACGUCAGAUUGUUCAUUGGAAAAACCACUUAAAAUUUCCAGAAGAUGCAAGGUUGACAGCUGAGGCUAAGGAUCUUAUUUGCAGGUUGCUGUGUGAUGUUGAACAUAGGCUAGGGACUGGAGGGGCACAUCAAAUCAAAGUAAAGCUCUCCUAUUUGAAUAAAUUGUUGUCUUUAUCCUCUAAUCAGAUUUUUUUUCUUUCUUAAAUUUCUAAAAACUAUGUUGUAUUGUAUCAGUCUCAUCCUUGGUUCAAGGAUGUUGUGUGGGACAAACUCUAUGAAAUGGACGCAGCAUUCAAACCAGAAGUGAAUGGAGAGCUUGAUACCCAAAACUUUAUGAAGUUUGAUGAGGUAUUUUACAAGAUCAUCCUUUUAUUUCUUGUAUCAUUGUUUAUCAUCUUCUGCACCGACAUCUACUAAUAUCAGUGCUAUAAUUAACAGUUCCAUUUAUCUAUACCUUUUAGCUUCUGUACUUUUGCACUACCAAACCUAUUGAAAUACUGACUUCCGUACAUCUUUGCAUUUGUGCUUAGUUGGACCCACCAGCGUCAGCAAGAACUGGAUCUUCACGAAAGGUUUGUAACUGUAGAUGCUGUCUAUAUACUGAUGAUAUGCAAUACAUAUUUUAUAAGACAUGAUAUGUAAUACUUUACACAAUCAAUUGGCAUUAUGCUCAUCUUUUCCCUGAAGAGAAAACCCAAGCUCAAUACUGGGUUCCCUUUGUUAAAAAGGCGCCAGAGCCAAGAGAACUGCCAUAGGAAAAAGAAAAGAUCAUAGUGUAGACCUUUUCAUCUAUGUUUGUCUUCAAGAUGACGUAAUGCCAAAUUACAAUUGUUGACUUUAGCCGGCCACCAUGAAAUCUGCAUUAGUGCUGUUUGAUGCCAAUAAUUCUGUUUUUAAUUUUCUCAAAAAGGGAAUUUUCUUGUAAAAAAUCAAUCUCAAUUGGCUUUUGCUUAUAUCUCAACUUGUGAAACAUUAUUUUCAGAACUCAGAAGGAAUCUGCAUUAUUAGGCAACGCCUCAUUGCCCUUUUGUUAUCAAUAGAGUUCUCAUGUCUAUUCUCUAGAGGAUCCACAAAAAUCUGCAAUAGCCUGUUCAUACGAACUCGUACCACAUGUUUAAGUAAUUUAUGAUUUAGUAUGAAUGUACAAUAUGUAUUCCUUAUCACCUUAUACUUUCAUGCAGUUGCAAAUGACUCCCAAAGAUUUAAGCUUUGUUGGCUAUACAUACAAGAACUUUGAUGCUGUGAAAGGGCUUCGUCAAGCUCUUGGUACGCAAUGUUACUCUAAUGUUGACUCUUGUUUCCAGAAUCGUAUAACUUAACUGGAAUUACCUGAUGUUAUUCUGUUAUGAACCUAAGCGGAUUAAAGCUUAUAUAUUCGCCAAUAUAUGCAGGUGAUGCUAGGGUAGAUUUUACUGCUGAACGGGCAGCCAAGGAAGCCGAGUUACAGAUGCUUGCAUCAGCCGGUGAUCCCAUGUUACCAUAACACCAAAUCCCUGGGGACAAAAGGUGACAAGAUAUAUACUCAUGUCCUUAAUUCGGGUUCAUAUUCAAAGAAACUUGGCAUAUCUUUCAAAUUGGCUGCCGUGUAGUUUGCAAUAUAAACAUUUUAAGUGUACAGUAACUGUAACUAUUGAAGAACUUCAUAAAAGCCCCGAAAAAGAGGCGAGUGAGAGACUUCAGUAAUUAGGUCUUGUGAAUUAGAAUUUUAGAAUUAAUGUAGCCUGAGAAUUCUGGGAACCGGUUGUCCUGACUGCCCAGGUUGGCAGUAUUGUGCAAUGCCUUCUCUAGUGGCAGUUUCUGGUGAAAGUACCAAGUAUUCAUGGCCAAAUUACCAAGAAACUCAGUAGCCAUUUGACAAGUAACUUUUCUCUCUGUUGUGUUUGUUUAAGGCUUUUAAGGGAUGGACUUGAAUAUGAAAUGAAAUAUUUGUGUAAAUAUAUUGCUUCAAUUUUCAUACCUCCAUGUUAUAUAUGGGGGUAAGGCUAGCCGACAUUCACCUCUCACAGA
This 43845-nucleotide long non-coding RNA is filed under the name Malus domestica (apple). RNAcentral's name for it is "long non-coding RNA (MDOM_LNC007301)". The record is from RNAcentral. Lineage: Eukaryota; Viridiplantae; Streptophyta; Magnoliopsida; Rosales; Rosaceae.